RNAcentral lists this ribosomal RNA (484 nucleotides) under uncultured bacterium. RNAcentral describes it as "SSU rRNA". It matches the Rfam family "Bacterial small subunit ribosomal RNA", at positions 26 to 523 of the family's 1533-position model. The record is from RNAcentral.
AGGACGAACGCUGGCGGCGUGCUUAACACAUGCAAGUCGAGCGGUAAGGCUCCUUCGGGAGUACACGAGCGGCGAACGGGUGAGUAACACGUGAGCAAUCUGCCCUUCACUUUGGGAUAACUUCCGGAAACGGAAGCUAAUACCGAAUACGACCAUUACAGACAUCUGUUGAUGGUGGAAAGUUCCGGCGGUGAAGGAUGAGCUCGCGGCCUAUCAGCUUGUUGGUGGGGUAAUGGCCCACCAAGGCGACGACGGGUAGCCGGCCUGAGAGGGUGACCGGCCACACUGGGACUGAGACACGGCCCAGACUCCUACGGGAGGCAGCAGUGGGGAAUAUUGGACAAUGGGCGAAAGCCUGAUCCAGCAACGCCGCGUGAGGGAUGACGGCCUUCGGGUUGUAACCUCUUUCUAGCGAGGGACGAAGCGAAGUGACGGUACCUGCAGAAGAAGCACCGGCCAACGUACGUGCCAGCAGCCGCGGUAA